Molecule: long non-coding RNA, 1101 nt
Filed under: Androctonus crassicauda
Lineage: Eukaryota; Metazoa; Arthropoda; Arachnida; Scorpiones; Buthidae
Source: RNAcentral
ACAAAAACAUUAAUGACCAUACAAAUGUAAAUUUAAGUAUUUUUUUUUUUUUUUUUUUUUCUAGAAGUCCUUUUUUUCAUUUCCACUCUGCCACACAUGUUGCACUUGUUACAAUAUAUUGUAACAAGUGCUAUUAUCCUUAGCUGCUUUUCGCACAGGAACUUGAUUAUGUUUGACGAAAUGAAUAGCCUUGUCAAGGUCGUCUUGUGUCCAAGAGACUGUUUUUCUUCCACUUGUAAAUAGUUGGCAUCUUCAACCACUGCAAAUUGAAAAUGAUAAUUAAAUAAAUUCAUCAAAUACACUUAAUCAUUUUUUAGACUUAAGAUCGCUGUACCCCGCUUCCUCCCCUUUUGAUUCAAUUCAUUAUCAUACCUGCAAUGUAAGCUUAAGUUAAUUAAAAUAUGCUAUUUCAUCCCCUAGUGUGCCAUUUCUCCCAAAACAGGAGGGAAAGAUGGUGCAGUCUACCUGUUGUAGCCUGCUAUGAUUGCCUGCGUGUAACAUGCACGCCAUUUUUCUCCAACAAACCGACAUUCAAAAUAACAUAUUACGUAGAAAUAAACUGCAUUCCCUAUAGCAAGGUUAUGAAGUAUACUCUAAAAAACUUUCAACACUUACCAUAACACAGAUGAGUAUAUAUUAAACAGUACAAAACCGUAUGCUUCAGUUUGGAUACAGCAGCUGCCUUCUACAAACACAACGCUACUAUCAGUGAUUCCUUUUUGUGGUCACUUUCGUUGUUGCUGAAAUAACUGUGGUGCGCAAUCUCUCCCCUCGCGCCAUCUCUCCCAGCUUUAUCUUAUGGAAAUAGACAAACCUCCAGGAAGUUAAUGACAGUCUUUUUUCAAGUUUUAGUUAGGUUAAGGUUAUUAUCAAAUAUUGCUACUAAUUUAUCAUGGAAAUAUAUAUAGAAAUAAUUAGAAAACAACUGAUUGAAAUAAUUCAGCAGCACAAACAUGACAAAGUGCAAUAUUAUUUUUGCCUGUUGCUAUGUAGUACUGCUCUUGAAAGGAAUGUUGUAGAAUUAUCUCAAUAUCUACAGUAAAGUAUUCAGCAGAUAAGAAUUAUAUACGAGAAAAAUGGCACCUAUACCAAGAAAACAAC